Molecule: ribosomal RNA, 369 nt
Filed under: uncultured organism
Description: bacterial SSU rRNA
Rfam family: Bacterial small subunit ribosomal RNA
Source: RNAcentral
CAGAGGUCUCAAGCGUUGUUCGGAUUCAUUGGGCGUAAAGGGUGCGUAGGUGGCGCCGUAAGUCAGGUGUGAAAUUUCGGAGCUUAACUCCGAAACUGCAUUUGAUACUGCGGUGCUUGAGGACUGGAGAGGAGACUGGAAUUUACGGUGUAGCAGUGAAAUGCGUAGAGAUCGUAAGGAAGACCAGUGGCGAUGGCGGGUCUCUGGACAGUUCCUGACACUGAGGCACGAAGGCCAGGGGAGCAAACGGGAUUAGAUACCCCGGUAGUCCUGGCUGUAAACGGUGCUUGCUUGCUGUAAAGGAAUCGACCCUUUGUGGCGAAGCCAACGCGUUAAGCAAGCCGCCUGGGAAGUACGGUCGCAAGAUUA